CCUACGGGAGGCAGCAGUGAGGAAUAUUGGUCAAUGGUCGGGAGACUGAACCAGCCAAGCCGCGUGAGGGAUGAAGGUACAGAGUAUCGUAAACCUCUUUUGUCAGGGAACAAAGGCGGGGACGUGUCCCCGGAUGAGUGUACCUGAAGAAAAAGCAUCGGCUAACACCGUGCCAGCAGCCGCGGUAAUACGGAGGAUGCGAGGGUUAUCCGGAUUUAUUGGGUUUAAAGGGUGCGCGGGCGGUCUGUUAAGUCAGCGGUAAAAGCCCGGGGGUAACCCGCGGCCCGCCGUUGAAACUGGCAGUCUCGAGUUGGAGAGAAGUAUGCGGAAUGCGCGGUGUAGCGGUGAAAUGCAUAGAUAUCGCGCAGAACUCCGAUUGCGAAGGCAGCAUGCCGGCUCCACACUGACGCUGAGGCACGAAAGCGUGGGUAUCGAACAGGAUUAGAUACCCUGGUAGUC
RNAcentral lists this ribosomal RNA (459 nucleotides) under uncultured bacterium. RNAcentral's name for it is "partial 16S ribosomal RNA". It matches the Rfam family "Bacterial small subunit ribosomal RNA", at positions 338 to 795 of the family's 1533-position model. The record is from RNAcentral.